GGAGGAAUGGGACUGCUACAGAUUGGUAAAACUGACAUGGUGCAGUGUUGUAGUAUGUGGCAGCAAGUGUUUGUGGUCAAUGCAGGAGAAGAAAGUCAUGCUGUUGGUGAGAAGAAUUGCAGGAAGUGUAACAUCUGCUGUGGAACUUAGAGAAUUAGUGACAAGGGUAGAAUCAUGGACUAAGAGCACAGCUAAUCAGUGCAUGCUUGUAUUUGGACUCAUACUCACAGCAGCUUCUUUGAUGACUCUGCUAAGUACAUGGACCAGCAAGGUCAGAUGCAGCAGCAGUUAGUGCAGAGGAAGAGAACGAAUUUGUUGUCUCUGCUGAAAGCAAUGCAGACAUGACACACCAGCACUGAAGGGAUCUCUGAACAUCACUAGAGGUCUCUCUGGAAAAGGAUUUGGAAGUGCAAAAGUAAGGAAAUGUAAGCCUUUUAGUGAAGUAAAGGCUUUGUGUUUUAAAAUUUAUUAGAGCUGGAAAUUAUGCAGAACUUGCUGCAUAAAUCUGUCAUGAUGUGCCAAAGCCUAGGUUUAUAUAUGUUUUUCUGUUUCUUUGUGAUGCUUUUUGGUUUGUAAACUAUGUGAUGUGGUAUGUUUUAGCACUAGUAUAAUUCAUUUAAUUUUUAUUGAUAAAAAAAUGUAGGACAUUACAUUGUAAACAUAGAAGCAACUUAGUUGAGGAUUUCCAAUCAUGAAGAUCCUAAAAUAAAAUUUUGAGAAUGACAAAGUCAACUCAUGAAACUCUUAUAACAUAAAGUCAAAGGAAUAAACACAUGAGCAAAAAGUUC
This 788-nucleotide long non-coding RNA is filed under the name Phaseolus vulgaris (common bean). RNAcentral describes it as "long non-coding RNA (PVUL_LNC004156)". Lineage: Eukaryota; Viridiplantae; Streptophyta; Magnoliopsida; Fabales; Fabaceae. The record is from RNAcentral.